Molecule: ribosomal RNA, 229 nt
Filed under: uncultured bacterium
Lineage: Bacteria
Description: partial 16S ribosomal RNA
Rfam family: Bacterial small subunit ribosomal RNA
Source: RNAcentral
UGCGCAGGCGGGCUAUUAAGUCAGUGGUGAAAUCUCUCGGCUCAACCGAGAAACUGCCAUUGAAACUGAUAGUCUUGAGUGUAGUUGUAGUAGGCGGAAUAUAGCAUGUAGCGGUGAAAUGCUUAGAUAUGCUAUAGAACACCGAUCGCGAAGGCAGCUUACUAAACUAUCACUGACGCUCAUGCACGAAAGCGUGGGGAGCAAACAGGAUUAGAUACCCUGGUAGUCC